AGGGAUUUAGGAUAAUACAAUAAACCGGAAGCCUUCAAAGCUUUAAAUAGAAGUGAAAAUCUUCUAAUCCCUG
RNAcentral lists this transfer RNA (73 nucleotides) under Oreichthys crenuchoides. Its description in RNAcentral is "tRNA-Trp". It matches the Rfam family "tRNA". Rfam says of the family: Transfer RNA (tRNA) molecules are approximately 80 nucleotides in length. Their secondary structure includes four short double-helical elements and three loops (D, anti-codon, and T loops). Further hydrogen bonds mediate the characteristic L-shaped molecular structure. tRNAs have two regions of fundamental functional importance: the anti-codon, which is responsible for specific mRNA codon recognition, and the 3' end, to which the tRNAs corresponding amino acid is attached (by aminoacyl-tRNA synthetases). tRNAs cope with the degeneracy of the genetic code in two manners: having more than one tRNA (with a specific anti-codon) for a particular amino acid; and 'wobble' base-pairing, i.e. permitting non-standard base-pairing at the 3rd anti-codon position. Lineage: Eukaryota; Metazoa; Chordata; Actinopteri; Cypriniformes; Cyprinidae. The record is from RNAcentral.